AGCGUUGGGGAAACAUGCUUAACUUCCAGCAGUCAUUCCCGCUCGCCUCCUUUCUCUUUGCUCGAGGUCUUCAGUUCAGGCUCCACAACUGGUUGAUGCUGUUUUCCUGUUAGUGUCUCCUUUUCAUCAUGCACGAUCCUCCAUAGUGAUGGAAUGGAGACAGCUUCUCAGAGAAAGCACAGCUUUGGAAGGUAAGUGCCGUUUGGAUGGUGAGACCAUCAGACCAAUUUAACUAGGCCAAGACUCUGAUCAAUGUUCUUAAACCUAUGUAACCCACUGCCACAGAGAUUUCAAAGUGAGGAAGGGUCCUGGAUGCCCAUUCAUCCAUUCUCAAUGAAUUAUUCAUUUGACCAGCACUUUCUGACUUUCUAGCUUCAGCCAGACACCGUACAAGGGACAGGGGAGACUGAGAUGAAGAACACUAGGUGCUUCUUCCCAAGGCACUCGCAGUCUCGGAGAAGACAGAUGUAUACUCACACAGAUGCAUAUGGUACAGCACUGUGUGAUGAUGCUAUACACGCACAAAGUGCCCGGGAACAGAGCAGCUGUCCCUGGCGACUCA
Molecule: long non-coding RNA, 562 nt
Filed under: Pongo abelii (Sumatran orangutan)
Lineage: Eukaryota; Metazoa; Chordata; Mammalia; Primates; Hominidae
Description: lincRNA
Source: RNAcentral